UCUGGUUGAUCCUGCCAGUAGUUAUAUGCUUGUCUCAAAGAUUAAGCCAUGCAUGUCUAAGUACACACGAAUUAAAAGUGAAACCGCAAAAGGCUCAUUAUAUCAGUUAUGGUUCCUUAGAUCGUUAACAGUUACUUGGAUAACUGUGGUAAUUCUAGAGCUAAUACAUGCAAUUAAAACAUGAACCUUAUGGGACAUGUGCUUUUAUUAGGCUAAAACCAAGCGAUCGCAAGAUCGUUAUAUUGGUUGAACUCUAGAUAACAUGCAGAUCGUAUGGUCUUGUACCGACGACAGAUCUUUCAAAUGUCUGCCCUAUCAACUUUUGAUGGUAGUAUCUAGGACUACCAUGGUUGCAACGGGUAACGGGGGAAUCAGGGGUUCGAUUCCGGAGAGGGAGCCUGAGAAACGGCUACCACAUCUAAGGAAGGCAGCAGGCGCGUAAAUUACCCACUCCCAGCUCGGGGAGGUAGUGACGAAAAAUAACAAUACAGGACUCAUAUCCGAGGCCCUGUAAUUGGAAUGAGUACACUUUAAAUCCUUUAACAAGGACCAAUUGGAGGGCAAGUCUGGUGCCAGCAGCCGCGGUAAUUCCAGCUCCAAUAGCGUAUAUUAAAGUUGUUGCGGUUAAAACGUUCGUAGUUGAACUUGUGCUUCAUACGGGUAGUACAACUUACAAUUGUGGUUAGUACUAUACCUUUAUGUAUGUAAGCGUAUUACCGGUGGAGUUCUUAUAUGUGAUUAAAUACUUGUAUUUUUUCAUAUGUUCCUCCUAUUUAAAAACCUGCACUAGUGCUCUUAAACGAGUGUUAUUGUGGGCCGGUACUAUUACUUUGAACAAAUUAGAGUGCUUAAAGCAGGCUUCAAAUGCCUGAAUAUUCUGUGCAUGGGAUAAUGAAAUAAGACCUCUGUUCUGCUUUCAUUGGUUUUCAGAUCAAGAGGUAAUGAUUAAUAGAAGCAGUUUGGGGGCAUUAGUAUUACGACGCGAGAGGUGAAAUUCUUGGACCGUCGUAAGACUAACUUAAGCGAAAGCAUUUGCCAAAGAUGUUUUCAUUAAUCAAGAACGAAAGUUAGAGGUUCGAAGGCGAUCAGAUACCGCCCUAGUUCUAACCAUAAACGAUGCCAGCUAGCAAUUGGGUGUAGCUACUUUUAUGGCUCUCUCAGUCGCUUCCCGGGAAACCAAAGCUUUUGGGCUCCGGGGGAAGUAUGGUUGCAAAGCUGAAACUUAAAGGAAUUGACGGAAGGGCACCACCAGGAGUGGAGCCUGCGGCUUAAUUGACU
RNAcentral lists this ribosomal RNA (1278 nucleotides) under Drosophila sechellia. RNAcentral's name for it is "SSU rRNA". It matches the Rfam family "Eukaryotic small subunit ribosomal RNA", at positions 1 to 1200 of the family's 1831-position model. The record is from RNAcentral. Lineage: Eukaryota; Metazoa; Arthropoda; Insecta; Diptera; Drosophilidae.